GCCCCAAAUAGACCGUGCCGCCAUACGUAGGACUGACUAUCCUGCUAUGGGGGGAAAUCAAUUAGUCACUGAAAGCCAAGUCCAUAAGUGGUACAGGCAAGCCUUGACCGACAACGGUUGUUGAGCCAAAGAAGAAGAAGAAGAAGAAGAUCGUUUUUAGGGGCCAUAAACUAUUAAGGUCGGUUUGUGGGGGAGUCCUAGACAAGCAAUCAUCGUAUCUGCCGACGCAUCAUCAGUUGGCCUCGGGGCGACAACCCAAGUAGCAACUGAAGCUUUUUUCUCCCAGUUUCAACUCCCUCAUGUCCACAAACUGCCUUCGCUUACUAUUCCUAUCCCGUUUCUACAUUCCACAACGUUUGUUGCGUUCUCGCUCAUCAGGGUGUUAGUCAAUUCUCUCUUGCCACACGAAGAGAAUUCUCCUGCACGCUUCGUGUGUUGGAUUCUACCCAUCCCUGUUGAACACACGUCAUUUUCUUCCAUCGCACUCAUCAGAGUGUUUGCUCUUUUCCAUCCAAGCCAAAGAGCGACUUCAGUGUGCUCUGAACCGUGGAUGUGAGAGUGUGUGUUUGUGUGCUGCGUGAACUAUUUUUCCUGCGUGAAACACUUUCCAUACUGCGCCAUCCGCGGUGUUCUUUCUGCUUCAUCGGAGGACGAAUUUUUAUCAUCUAAUUGUUUGGUUUCAGAUGUGUGCUGCUACCGCUAGCUGUUCCUCAAACUACUUAAAAAGUGUGACACUGUGUGCACAGGCGUUCAAGUUUCAAUUGAUCCUCAAGCACAAAGCCUUCAUACAACACCGCGGGCUCCAGCGUGGUGUGAAGAGGGAAGAAGAAAAGACAGAAUUGGAAACAGCCGCAUCAGGCUUCCAACCACCGUGUGUGUAUGUAAGUAUGUGAGAACACAUGUCCCUACUAGCAAUGAGAAUGAAAAAGUGUGCGACUUUCAGGCGAGGGGCAUGUAGAAGCAUGGGGAGACGGUUGGAAAUUCGCGGAAUUGCUCGGAGGCGCGAGCGUGUUUUGGUUUCUACACAGUUUUUGCACUCACACAAUUACACAUGUGUGAAUGUGUGCGUUCACUUUCAGCCUGCGCGCUCAGUUUGGUUUUCUCGCAGCGGCAUGCGGGUAUCGGUGUCUCGCUCGCACUAGUGCAGCGAGUGUUCCUCUGUGCGCUCCCCUUCUUGCCACCACACGAAAUCGUCAGUUCAGCUCAAGCGUUCGCCGUGAAAGGCUGCGCGCGUGUUAGCCUAAGUCCCGGGCGAUCGAAGUUUCGCUAAGUGUUGAAGUGUUGUGCACUUUGAAAUGAAGCUGCGCUUUUCUUUCACCAUUUAUCUUAAAUGUGUGAUAUGCGCUGCUUUAUUUCAAUGUUUAUUUUUGCUGUAUCGAACAUCAACAACGGUAUCCAUGCAGUUAGGCGACUAUUUUAAAUACGGCGAUUUUUUUUAUAUAAAUAAUGUGUGUGAUUUUGUGGCAAGAUUGUGUGAAGCUAUGUGUGAAAAUGCCCCUUUAUUUGCAAUAAAAGUGAUAAAAUAUAAACCAA
Molecule: long non-coding RNA, 1533 nt
Organism: Anopheles coluzzii
Lineage: Eukaryota; Metazoa; Arthropoda; Insecta; Diptera; Culicidae
Exons: 3
Source: RefSeq, a predicted model, not a curated record